This 497-nucleotide ribosomal RNA is filed under the name uncultured bacterium. RNAcentral describes it as "partial 16S ribosomal RNA". It matches the Rfam family "Bacterial small subunit ribosomal RNA", at positions 28 to 507 of the family's 1533-position model. The record is from RNAcentral.
GAUGAACGCUGGCGGCGUGCCUAAUACAUGCAAGUCGAGCGAACAGAUUAGGAGCUUGCUCCUCUGACGUUAGCGGCGGACGGGUGAGUAACACGUGGAUAACCUACCUAUAAGACUGGGAUAACUACGGGAAACCGGAGCUAAUACCGGAUAAUAUAUUGAACCGCAUGGUUCAAUAGUGAAAGACGGUUUUGCUGUCACUUAUAGAUGGAUCCGCGCCGCAUUAGCUAGUUGGUAAGGUAACGGCUUACCAAGGCAACGAUGCGUAGCCGACCUGAGAGGGUGAUCGGCCACACUGGAACUGAGACACGGUCCAGACUCCUACGGGAGGCAGCAGUAGGGAAUCUUCCGCAAUGGGCGAAAGCCUGACGGAGCAACGCCGCGUGAGUGAUGAAGGUCUUCGGAUCGUAAAACUCUGUUAUUAGGGAAGAACAAAUGUGUAAGUAACUAUGCACGUCUUGACGGUACCUAAUCAGAAAGCCACGGCUAACUACGUG